RNAcentral lists this ribosomal RNA (402 nucleotides) under uncultured bacterium. Its description in RNAcentral is "bacterial SSU rRNA". It matches the Rfam family "Bacterial small subunit ribosomal RNA", at positions 355 to 774 of the family's 1533-position model. The record is from RNAcentral.
UGGGGAAUCUUGGACAAUGGGGGCAACCCCGAUCCAGCGAUGCCGCGUGAGCGAAGAAGGCCUUAGGGUUGUAAAGCUCUUUCGCCCGCGACGAUGUUGACGGUAGCGGGAGAAGAAGCCCCGGCUAACUCCGUGCCAGCAGCCGCGGUAAUACGGAGGGGGCUAGCGUUGUCCGGAAUUACUGGGCGUAAAGCGCGCGUAGGCGGUCCACCAAGUCGGGGGUGAAAGCCCGGGGCUCAACCCCGGAAUGUCCUCCGAGACUGUUGGACUGGAGUUCGGGAGAGGAGAGCGGAAUUCCCAGUGUAGAGGUGAAAUUCGUAGAUAUUGGGAAGAACACCGGUGGCGAAGGCGGCUCUCUGGCCCGCAACUGACGCUGAGGCGCGAAAGCGUGGGGAGCAAACA